GGGGGGUUAGUUCAGUUGGCUAGAACGUCACACUUGCACUGUGAAGGUCGUGGGUUCGAGACCCACACUCUCCA
This 74-nucleotide transfer RNA is filed under the name Myoviridae sp. ctPuP5. Its description in RNAcentral is "tRNA-Ala". It matches the Rfam family "tRNA". Rfam says of the family: Transfer RNA (tRNA) molecules are approximately 80 nucleotides in length. Their secondary structure includes four short double-helical elements and three loops (D, anti-codon, and T loops). Further hydrogen bonds mediate the characteristic L-shaped molecular structure. tRNAs have two regions of fundamental functional importance: the anti-codon, which is responsible for specific mRNA codon recognition, and the 3' end, to which the tRNAs corresponding amino acid is attached (by aminoacyl-tRNA synthetases). tRNAs cope with the degeneracy of the genetic code in two manners: having more than one tRNA (with a specific anti-codon) for a particular amino acid; and 'wobble' base-pairing, i.e. permitting non-standard base-pairing at the 3rd anti-codon position. The record is from RNAcentral. Lineage: Duplodnaviria; Heunggongvirae; Uroviricota; Caudoviricetes.